Molecule: non-coding RNA, 1468 nt
Organism: Paramuricea clavata
Lineage: Eukaryota; Metazoa; Cnidaria; Anthozoa; Malacalcyonacea; Plexauridae
Source: the annotation of a GenBank genome assembly
GAAAUUCUGCAAAGCAGUAGCGGCUCUCCUGCAUUUCUUUGUGUUGUCAGCCUUCGGAUGGAUGUUGUGUGAGGGGAUAUUACUGUACAUCUUGCUGGUCAAAGUAUUUGAUGGUGCACAUGGCAAGCACUGGAAGAUCUUUAAUUUUAUUGGCUGGGGUAAGUAGUCUGUCUUUCUGAUCGUGGACAAUUACAGUAUAGGACUCCGCUAUGUCGAACUUAAAACCAUUUCCCGUGAAUUCGCCCAUCAUGAUCUGACUAUUUCAAUAAUUUUAUUCGGUUGUAACAAAAUGUUGGCACAGAAUAUGAAUGCGCUCUCUCAGUUUGAGAGAUGCUCAUACCAAGAUUGUUCAAUAUAUUCACUGAAUUGGCCGUUAAAGACCAAAGUAAAGAGUCUGAGAAAUAUUUUCAUUUAACUUUGAAGGCUGAAGGCUUGCGGCAUUUUCAGUUAAACAGAAACCUGUCCAUUGCAUGUCUUUAGCCUACAUUGUAAUUUUCCAGUUUAUUAAAAAAUCGCAGUUAUACAUGGCAGUAAAAUUAUUGUUUUUAACAAUUUGACACUUACUUGAUUUGUCGAAACACCGAUCUCUGGAAAGUUUUUCUUAUAUUCGUUAAUUGUAAUUGUUCGAGAUAGCGAGGUUCUACUGAUAUAUUCACCAUUUAAAAAAGUUAAGUAAGGACAUAUUCUAAUGACAGGACAGCAGAUGUUGGCCAACUUUAGAAAUGUGUACACUAUAAUAGGAGUAAGAAAAUAUUUGAAGUACAUCAUCUUCAAGUCUUCUUGCGAGCAAACACAUUUUCGAUAUCAUAUUUCCCAAAAUCCUGAUAUUUACUUAUACACCUUAUGUCGGGAUGACCUUAGUAUAUAUGGAUGAACUUGAGAUUAUAGUUCAACAACUGGACUCCGUACUAGCUAGGUUGGUUAGAGUGCUGAACCCGAAUCGCAGGGCCGCAUGUUCGAUUCCUUCUAGUGGCCAAUAUUUGCAUUUUUCUCAACUGUUUCCGGUUCGGUCUAAUAAGUAUAUAAAAUUUACACUCGAAAUUUUCUAUCUACAAAACUUAUCAACAUAUCGUUUAUUCAGGAAUUCCUCUAUUGAUUGUUGUUAUAUCAUUUGGAGCCACUCAAGGAGAAGGAUAUGGAACAGAAUCUUCAUGUUGGCUUAGUGUUGAAAAUAAAGUGAUUUGGGCGUUUGUGGGACCUGCAUUCCUUGUCAUAUUGGUAGGUGCUCUCAACUAAUUCUUUAGGCCAUGUAGUUUGUGCGCGUAUCUGUCAUCCCUGAAAGGAAAUAUCGUUUAGCAGUAACGAACUAUAUACUAAUACAUGUAUAAAAUAUAUGACAGGUUUUCUUCGUCCAUCUUUGUUUUUGAUAUUUAUUUUAUCUUCCAGGCCAACACAAUCGUGUUUGUCAUGGUGUUACGUACAAUGAUGAACUCUUACAAAAUCAAACAAAGGGACAAUAUUGGUAAAG